GGCGGGAUAGCUCAGUCGGUCAGAGCGAGCGGCUCAUAAUCGCUAGGUCGCGGGUUCAAGUCCCGCUCCCGCUACCA
RNAcentral lists this transfer RNA (77 nucleotides) under Propionibacteriaceae bacterium. RNAcentral describes it as "tRNA-Met". It matches the Rfam family "tRNA". From Rfam's summary of the family: Transfer RNA (tRNA) molecules are approximately 80 nucleotides in length. Their secondary structure includes four short double-helical elements and three loops (D, anti-codon, and T loops). Further hydrogen bonds mediate the characteristic L-shaped molecular structure. tRNAs have two regions of fundamental functional importance: the anti-codon, which is responsible for specific mRNA codon recognition, and the 3' end, to which the tRNAs corresponding amino acid is attached (by aminoacyl-tRNA synthetases). tRNAs cope with the degeneracy of the genetic code in two manners: having more than one tRNA (with a specific anti-codon) for a particular amino acid; and 'wobble' base-pairing, i.e. permitting non-standard base-pairing at the 3rd anti-codon position. The record is from RNAcentral. Lineage: Bacteria; Bacillati; Actinomycetota; Actinomycetes; Propionibacteriales; Propionibacteriaceae.